GAUGAACGCUGGCGGCGUGCCUAAUACAUGCAAGUCGAGCGAACAGACGAGGAGCUUGCUCCUUCGACGUUAGCGGCGGACGGGUGAGUAACACGUAGGUAACCUACCUAUAAGACUGGGAUAACUUCGGGAAACCGGAGCUAAUACCGGAUAAUAUUUCGAACCGCAUGGUUCGAUAGUGAAAGAUUGCUUUGCUAUCACUUAUAGAUGGACCUGCGCCGUAUUAGCUAGUUGGUAAGGUAACGGCUUACCAAGGCAACGAUACGUAGCCGACCUGAGAGGGUGAUCGGCCACACUGGAACUGAGACACGGUCCAGACUCCUACGGGAGGCCGCAGCAGGGAAUCUUCCGCAAUGGGCGAAAGCCUGACGGAGCAACGCCGCGUGAGUGAUGAAGGUCUUCGGAUCGUAAAACUCUGUUAUUAGGGAAGAACAAACGUGUAAGUAACUGUGCACGUCUUGACGGUACCUAAUCAGAAAGCCACGGCUAACUACGUG
RNAcentral lists this ribosomal RNA (497 nucleotides) under uncultured bacterium. RNAcentral's name for it is "partial 16S ribosomal RNA". It matches the Rfam family "Bacterial small subunit ribosomal RNA", at positions 28 to 507 of the family's 1533-position model. The record is from RNAcentral.